GAUGAAGAACGCAGUGAAAUGCGAUAAGUAAUGUGAAUUGCAGAAUUCAGUGAAUCAUCGAAUCUUAGAACGCACAUUGCGCCCAUUAGUAUUCUAGUGGGCAUGCCUGUUCGAGCGUCAUUAAGUCCACUUAAGCCCUGCUUAGUGUUGGGAGACUGCUCCAGCGGUGCUACCCUGUAGCUACCCUGCAGCUCCUCAAAGACAGCGGCGGAGUUGUGGUAUCCUCUGAGCUUAGUAACUUGUUCUAGCUUUCGAGUACACCACUUCCCCUGCCGUAAAACCCUUAAUUUUUAAUGGUUGACCUCGGAUCAGGUAGGAAUACCCGCUGAACUUAAGCAUAUCAAUAAGCGGAGGA
This 355-nucleotide unclassified non-coding RNA is filed under the name soil metagenome. RNAcentral's name for it is "partial contains 5.8S ribosomal RNA, internal transcribed spacer 2, and large subunit ribosomal RNA". The stretch from base 1 to 120 matches the Rfam family "5.8S ribosomal RNA", at positions 35 to 154 of the family's 154-position model. The record is from RNAcentral.